GACGAACGCUGGCGGCGUGCUUAACACAUGCAAGUCGAACGGAAAGGCCCUGCUUGCAGGGUGCUCGAGUGGCGAACGGGUGAGUAACACGUGGGUGAUCUGCCCCUUACUUUGGGAUAAGCCUGGGAAACUGGGUCUAAUACUGGAUAGGACCAUGCUGUAGGUGGUGUGGUGGAAAGAUUAGUUUCGGUAAGGGAUGAGCUCGCGGCCUAUCAGCUUGUUGGUGGGGUAAUGGCCUACCAAGGCGUCGACGGGUAGCCGGCCUGAGAGGGUGGACGGCCACAUUGGGACUGCGAUACGGCCCAGGCUCCUACGGGAGGCAGCAGUGGGGAAUAUUGCACAAUGGGCGCAGGCCUGAUGCAGCGACGGCGCGUGGGGGUUGACGGCCUUCUGGUUGUAAACUCCUUUCAGCCAUGACGAAGCCCUUGUGGUGACGGUAGUGGUAGAAGAAGCACCGGCUAACUACGUG
Molecule: ribosomal RNA, 469 nt
Filed under: uncultured bacterium
Lineage: Bacteria
Description: partial 16S ribosomal RNA
Rfam family: Bacterial small subunit ribosomal RNA
Source: RNAcentral